This 279-nucleotide ribosomal RNA is filed under the name uncultured bacterium. RNAcentral's name for it is "partial 16S ribosomal RNA". It matches the Rfam family "Bacterial small subunit ribosomal RNA", at positions 506 to 784 of the family's 1533-position model. The record is from RNAcentral.
UGCCAGCCGCCGCGGUAAUACGAAGGUGGCAAGCGUUGUCCGGAUUUACUGGGCGUAAAGAGUGUGUAGGCGGAUAAUUAAGUCAGAUGUGAAAGCCCAAGGCUCAACCUUGGAGGUGCAUUUGAUACUGGUUAUCUAGAGUGCGGGAGAGGAGAGUGGAAUUCCUAGUGUAGCGGUGAAAUGCGUAGAGAUUAGGAAGAACACCAGUGGCGAAGGCGGCUUACUGGGACAUUUCUGACACUGAGAGACGAAAGCAUGGGGAGCGAAAGGGAUUAGAUA